CCGAUGGAGGGGGAUAACUACUGGAAACGGUAGCUAAUACCGCAUAACGUCGCAAGACCAAAGAGGGGGACCUUGGGCCUCUUGCCAUCGGAUGUGCCCAGAUGGGAUUAGCUAGUAGGUGGGGUAAUGGCUCACCUAGGCGACGAUCCCUAGCUGGUCUGAGAGGAUGACCAGCCACACUGGAACUGAGACACGGCCCAG
RNAcentral lists this ribosomal RNA (201 nucleotides) under uncultured bacterium. RNAcentral's name for it is "partial 16S ribosomal RNA". It matches the Rfam family "Bacterial small subunit ribosomal RNA", at positions 130 to 334 of the family's 1533-position model. The record is from RNAcentral.